This 465-nucleotide ribosomal RNA is filed under the name Vreelandella stevensii. RNAcentral describes it as "partial 16S ribosomal RNA". It matches the Rfam family "Bacterial small subunit ribosomal RNA", at positions 338 to 795 of the family's 1533-position model. The record is from RNAcentral. Lineage: Bacteria; Pseudomonadati; Pseudomonadota; Gammaproteobacteria; Oceanospirillales; Halomonadaceae.
CCUACGGGGGGCAGCAGUGGGGAAUAUUGGACAAUGGGGGCAACCCCGAUCCAGCCAUGCCGCGUGUGUGAAGAAGGCCCUCGGGUUGUAAAGCACUUUCAGUGAGGAAGAACGCCUGGUGGUUAAUACCCAUCAGGAAAGACAUCACUCACAGAAGAAGCACCGGCUAACUCCGUGCCAGCAGCCGCGGUAAUACGGAGGGUGCGAGCGUUAAUCGGAAUUACUGGGCGUAAAGCGCGCGUAGGUGGCUUGAUAAGCCGGUUGUGAAAGCCCCGGGCUCAACCUGGGAACGGCAUCCGGAACUGUCAAGCUAGAGUGCAGGAGAGGAAGGUAGAAUUCCCGGUGUAGCGGUGAAAUGCGUAGAGAUCGGGAGGAAUACCAGUGGCGAAGGCGGCCUUCUGGACUGACACUGACACUGAGGUGCGAAAGCGUGGGUAGCAAACAGGAUUAGAUACCCUGGUAGUC